RNAcentral lists this non-coding RNA (27 nucleotides) under Mus musculus (house mouse). Lineage: Eukaryota; Metazoa; Chordata; Mammalia; Rodentia; Muridae. The record is from RNAcentral.
UGAGACAGGAAGCAUGGGGUACACUCA